GUGUAAAAAUAAGAAUAACGUUUAUCUCAUAAGGUCAUGUAAGGAGUAGCUUGCAAAGCUCAGAGCUUCAAGUAAGAAGUGGGCCUAAAAACCCAAUUCUGGCCUCAUUUACUCUCAUUUGUUUACUCUUUUUUAGGUCUUCAAGCAGCAGCCCAAGGAAGGAGAAAUAAGGACACACAUUUUUGGCUGGAUUAGUAACAUCUUUCCUUUGUCUUCAUCCACCAGUGUUCUCGCUUCCCAGAAAGUGUGGAACAUUGGCCUUCCUUUUCAGAUUCAUGCGAAAGCUUGGAGAAAAGAACACAGACUGAAAGGAAUAUAAAUCCAAAAGAAUGAGUGAAAUGGGAAUACACAAGGCAUGAGCAAUAAGACUGUUCUGUCAGAAACAAUGAGAAUAACUGCUCUACAGCUUACAAACCAGAAACUUACACGUUGUAUCUCAUUAAAUUUUACUUUGAAUAUUGAGAACA
Long non-coding RNA from Nomascus leucogenys (northern white-cheeked gibbon), 467 nucleotides. RefSeq lists it as uncharacterized. The transcript has 3 exons. NCBI's taxonomy places the organism in Eukaryota, Metazoa, Chordata, Mammalia, Primates, Hylobatidae. The record is from RefSeq and is a predicted model, not a curated record.